UGUAGGAUGCACAUGACCCGGA
RNAcentral lists this non-coding RNA (22 nucleotides) under Arabidopsis thaliana (thale cress). The record is from RNAcentral. Lineage: Eukaryota; Viridiplantae; Streptophyta; Magnoliopsida; Brassicales; Brassicaceae.